AUGUCCAGGUUUGACUUCUACAAGAUUGCACAGGGGGAUCCUUCUCUACCUUCCCAUCAACUAUUGGCAGAAGAAAGGAUUGCCGUAACAAAGGCUGAAUCUGCCACGGAGACUGCACAGCUUACCAGAAUUAACCCACAAGAGCCUGUAUAUGGAUUAACAUUUCCCACUCUUCAUACCCCUACAGGAGCAAUGUGGCGAUAAUUGGGAAUUAUUGAGUGGCCUUGCCUACCUCAUUCUCCUCAAAAGUCAUCGACUCCAUGCCAUGGCUUUAUUGCUCAGUUAGUUACUAAAGGAAGAACACGAGUUUUUCAGAGAGUUGGGUCAUAGCCUAAUAUGAAUGUUGGCCCUUUUUCUACUCAAGAGCAGGAUUGGCUUUGGCAGUCUUCUAACACUUGGCCGAUAGCUUUUGCUAAUUUCCCUGGCCAAAUGGAAAGCCAUUACCUUCGUGAUAAAAUUAUUCAGUUUGCUCUUGUGACUACAUUUAUUUUCCCCAAAAUUGUAUGUGCUUAACCAAUAGUUGGAGCACUAACAAUAUUUACUGAUGGAUCGAGUUCAGGAAAAGCAGGUUUCUAUAGCCAUGUAUUAUACAGAGAUAAUACAGACGUCUUAUACUUCUGCACAACGAGCAGAACUUCAAGCUCACAUUUGUGCUUUAAUUCAUUUU
This 667-nucleotide long non-coding RNA is filed under the name Ictidomys tridecemlineatus (thirteen-lined ground squirrel). Its description in RNAcentral is "lncRNA (ENSSTOG00000033853.1)". The record is from RNAcentral. Lineage: Eukaryota; Metazoa; Chordata; Mammalia; Rodentia; Sciuridae.